UCGGACAUGGUGUAUGGUACACAGUCGUUUCUUGCGACAAGUAGAAGAUGCAAGAGGGAAUCCGGGGUUCGACUCCCCGUGUUCGAA
This is a non-coding RNA of Mycena metata, 87 nucleotides long. Lineage: Eukaryota; Fungi; Basidiomycota; Agaricomycetes; Agaricales; Mycenaceae. The record is from the annotation of a GenBank genome assembly.